RNA transcript from Oncorhynchus kisutch (coho salmon), 5960 nucleotides. It is a transcript of the gene named glutamate receptor ionotropic, delta-2, with no coding region annotated. Lineage: Eukaryota; Metazoa; Chordata; Actinopteri; Salmoniformes; Salmonidae. The record is from RefSeq and is a predicted model, not a curated record. The transcript has 17 exons.
CCCGCCCUCUGUGCAUCUCUCCCUCUCCCUGCCUCAGUCAGUCAUCCUCCCAGGUAACUCUGGUCCAGACAAUGCGCGGCUGGCAACUGCUGCUGUCCGUGUAGUUGGCUCUCUACAGGGCCUUCUCCCACACAGUAUACCUCAUCCUCCGACUGCUAGAGACAAUCCGCAUGCGGAGCGGUCAUCGCGCGCACCGUGGCGAAUUUUCACUUGAUUUUCUGUCGCAGAAAAGAGUGGUCCCUAUAGCUUGCCAGUAUUUCGGAAUAUGGUGGUCCUUGUUAAAAAGAAUGAGUUCAAUUUUUUUACGUCUUAAAUGGCAGUGAUGGAUACAGUUUUAGAAUCCGCAUGAAAAUUGAAGUUUUGCGUUUCGUUUUAUUCAUUAAAGCUUGCAAAAUGCGUCGUGUCUGAGGCAGAAUCUACGGUCUCGACCAAAUCAGCCCUGGACCUGCGUAUGAGAAAAGCAAACCCGUGCUUUCCUAAUAUUUAGCAAACAUUGCAUUUGGCUUGCAUUCAUCCCCAGUUUUGGAUUGAUCGGAUGCGUCAGCGUUGGAAGCGGCUGUGGAGAACCCCAUAGCUUUCGGCAUAAUUUGAUGUAACUGGAUGUUUUAACAGGGUAACUGGAUAUAUCUUACCUUUUAACUGAGAACAGCUGCAUUCAAGUCAAGAAGCAAACUCCAUCAAGAGAUAGAUCCAUCCCUAUAUGGACUAAAUCUUGGUUCUUCGGGAUUUAAAACUAGCAAAUCACACGCAUCUUGUUCGGCGCUUCUUGGGAAAAUAGCCUUAAACUGUGGGAGACAUGAAAGUUGUUUCAGCAGUGUUGUUCCUUGCCAUAUUUUGGAGUCAGGAGUGGGAGCCCGUGCUUUCUGAUUCAAUCAUACACAUCGGGGCCAUCUUUGAUGAGUCUGCCAGGAAGGACGACGAGGUGUUCCGCAUGGCCGUGGCGGACCUCAACCUCAACAAUGAGAUCCUGGAGACUGAGAAGAUCACCAUCUCUGUGGAGUUUGUGGAUGGGAACAACCCUUUCCAGGCAGUCCAGGAAGCCUGUGAGUUGAUGAACAGGGGGAUCCUGGCUCUUAUUAGCUCAGUUGGCUGUAUGUCGGCGGGCUCCCUGCAGACGCUGGCGGACGCCAUGCACAUCCCGCACCUGUUCAUCCAGCGUGCCCCCGCCGGCACCCCUCGCUCCAGCUGUCCCCUCGUCAGCCGCGUUCGCCAGGACGACUACACCCUCUUCGUUCGCCCGCCCGUCUACCUCAACGACGUCAUCCUCCAAGUGGUCAACGAGUACAGCUGGCAGAAGUUCAUCAUCUUCUACGACCAGGAAUACGAUAUCCGUGGGAUCCAGGACUUCCUGGACAAGACGUCUCAGCAGGGCAUGGACGUGUCGCUGCAGAAGGUGGAGUCCAACAUCAACAUGAUGAUCACCAGCAUGUUCAGAACCAUGAGGGUGGAGGAGCUCCACCGCUACCGGGACACGCUGCGCCGGGCCGUGCUCUUCAUGAGUCCCGUCACCGCCAAGGCCUUUAUCACUGAGGUUGUGGAGACGAAUCUCAUGGCAUUCGACUGUCACUGGAUCAUCAUCAAUGAGGAAAUCUCAGACCAGGACGUCCAAGAACUGGUGAUGAAGUCAAUUGGGCGUCUGACCCUGAUCAGACAGACCUUCCCCCUGCCCCAGAACACCAGCCAGCGCUGUGUCAAGCACAACCACCGCAUCAACACCUCCCUCUGCGACCCCAAGGACCCCAAAGCUCAGACACUGGAGAUCACCAACCGCUACAUCUACGACACAGUGCUGCUAUUGGCCAACACUUUCCACAGGAAGCUGGAGGACAGGAAGUGGCACAGCAUGGCCAGCCUCACCUGUAUCCGCAAGAACUCUAAGCCCUGGCAAGGAGGACGGCCUAUGCUGGACAAUGUCAAAAAGUCUGGAGUGAGUGGUCUGACUGGCUUCCUGGAGUUUACAGACAACGGAACCAACCCCAACAUCUACUUUGAGAUCCUGGGGACCAACUAUGGCGAGGACAGGGGCAGGGGUGUCAGUAAGCUGGCCACCUGGGACCCAGUGCACGGCCUCAACGGAACGCUGACAGACAGGAAGCUGGAGAACAACAUGAGGGGCGUGGUUCUGCGAGUGGUCACUGUCCUGGAGGAGCCCUUUGUGAUGGUGUCAGAGAAUGUCCUUGGGAAGCCUAAGAAGUACCAAGGUUACUCCAUCGACGUACUGGAUUCCCUCUCUAACUACCUGGGCUUCAAGUACGAGAUAUAUGUGGCCCCUGACCAUAAGUACGGGAGCCAACAGUCUGACGGGGUCUGGAACGGACUGAUGGGAGAGCUGGUCGCCAAGCGGGCAGACGUGGGUCUCUCGGCUCUCACCAUCACGCCAGAACGGGAGAGUGCGGUGGACUUCACCACACGCUACAUGGACUACUCGGUGGGUGUGCUGCUCAGGAAGGCCGAGCGUACCGUGGACAUGUUCGCCUGCCUAGCGCCCUUUGACCUGUCGUUGUGGGCGUGCAUUGCGGGCACCGUGCUGCUGGUGGGCAUCCUGGUCUACCUACUCAACUGGUUGAACCCGCCGCGCCUGCCCAUGGGUGCUGUCUCCUCCACCACCUUCUACAAUUCCAUGUGGUUCGUCUAUGGAUCCUUCGUCCAGCAGGGUGGUGAAGUUCCGUAUACCACCCUGGCCACGAGGAUGAUGAUGGGGGUAUGGUGGCUCUUUGCUCUAAUCGUCAUCUCCUCCUACACAGCCAACCUGGCUGCCUUCCUCACCAUCACCCGCAUCGAGAACUCUAUCCAGUCUCUCCAAGACCUUUCCAAGCAGACAGAGUUGCCGUACGGGACGGUGUUGGACUCGGCUGUGUAUGAGCAGGUGCGCAGUAAGGCCAUGAACCCCUUUGAGAGGGACCCUAUGUACUCCCAGAUGUGGCGCAUGAUCAACCGCACCGGAGGGGCCGAAAACAACGUGGACGAGUCCAAGGAGGGCAUCCGCAAGGUGAAGUACGGGCGUUUUGCCUUUGUGUGGGAUUCGGCGGUGCUGGAGUAUAUGGCCAUCAACGACGAGGACUGCUCCUUCUACACUGUGGGGAGCAAUGCACCAGAUCGGGGCUACGGCUUCGCCAUGCAGCACGGCAGUCCAUACAGGGACAUCUUCUCCCAGAGGAUCCUGGAGCUGCAGCAGAACGGGGACAUGGACAUCCUGAAGCUGAAGUGGUGGCCCCGGGACAGCCCAUGUGACCUGUACUCAGCGGUGCACACCAAACACCGCGGCAGUGCCCUGGACAUCCACAGCUUCGCCGGCGUGUUCUGCGUGCUAGCGGCCGGAGUGGUGCUCUCCUGUGUCAUUGCCAUGGUGGAGACCUGGUGGACUAGGAGGAAGGGCUCACGAGUCCCCUCCAAGGAGAUAAGUACACUGUGUUGAGGGUAAAGCGGGCGAGGGAGAGCAAUACAAAAUGCCAUUUUUACAUCUCACCCUUCCAGGACGAUAAGGAGAUCGACCUGGAGCACCUUCACCGCCGGGUUAACAGCCUGUGCGCGGAGGACGACAGCCCCCACAAGCAGUUCUCCACCUCCUCUAUUGACCUGACGCCCCUGGACAUGGACUCUAUGCCGGCUGCCCGGCAGGCCCUGGAACAGAUCAGCGACUUCCGCAACACGCACAUCACCACCACCACCUUCAUCCCCGAGCAGAUCCAGACCCUCAGCCGCAGCCUGUCCACCAAGGCCCAACAGGGCUUCGCCUUCGGUCCCGUGCAGGACCACCGGACUGGGGGAACCUUCAGGCAGAGAGCCCCCAACGGUGGCUUCUUCCGCAGUCCCAUCAAGACAAUGUCCUCCAUACCCUACCAGCCCACUCCCCAGCCCAACUUCAGCUACGGCAACGACCCCGAUCGGGGUACAUCCAUAUGAGGAGUAGGAGGAGGCCACAUAGUGAGAGAGAUGUAAACAAAUACACUCACAAAGCUCUGUGUACAUAGGAAUUUUUCAGUUCAGUUUUUUUUUGUUCAGUGGAGUGGGGUGGGUGGGUGGUGGGUGGGGUUGGUCGUCCUUCUGAAACCUGUUGGUGAGAGGAGGUGGGGACUUGAAUGUUUUCUUUAUAGUAAUCGUUCUCGUGGUUUUCAGAAGAUUUUUGGGUGUGUGACAGGGAUCUGUUAUCUCUUUUUCGUUCCAUGUCAUUUAUGGACUGCUUUUCUGAAGAAGCAUAUGACUCCUAUGGACACAACAAGGAGAGUAUGUUUUUUUUAAUAACAGAAAACACUUGUCUGUCUGUUCUUGAGAUCCACAAAUCGGCAAUUACCCAAUGCUCAUUUGGUGGACAUUCUUGUCUUUGCCUUUCACCUUAUGGGACUUCAUCCCAUUCAGUUCUUUGGUGUUGCUCAUCCAAUGCCUGUGCUCCAAAUCUGAAAUGUGCCCAGAAAUGGGUGUCCAUUGGCUCAGCUCCCCUGCAUACUGACACCUCACCAUCUGAGCUCUGGAAACACUCUGCCAUUUUGGUGCAUGUACGACUCUAUCAAUUCCACUGCACUCACUGCACCAGUGCCCACAGACCUGUGUUUGAUUGUAUGUAGUUUGGAAAUUCUUUCUCACCUGUACUGUGCUGUCUAUUUCAAGGUGAGAGCCUCAACCUCUAAACGGACAUUUCUUGAGAGACGCAUAGAGGCACAAAAAGGACUGAAAAUAACUGAAAUAAAAGACAACAGAAAAAUGACUUUAAAAGCAGCUAAAGCUAUUAUAUGUAUUUUAUUGAAUUUGUUUUGCAAAUACAUUUUAAUGCGUGGAAUGUGUUUGGUCAGAAAGUAAAACAAAAAAAACAUUGUUCUCAGCGGUCUACUUGUUUUCUCAGCCAAUUUUGAAAACCGCUAAAUGAGUGCUAUAGUCUUACUCUGGUUUGCGUCAUAAAUCAUAUUCAAGUUGUUUUUCACCUUACUUGUAGUUCUGCCAGGGCUCAGUCAGGAAAACAAAGUCACAUUUCUGUGCGAUCGUGUCAUUCUCCAGUCCUCUAAUUGACUGUUGUAAGGCCAAACAGUUGGGCUCAGAUUGAGGAGAAGCCCUUUCCAAUAACAUCCUCAGCACAAGCCUUAUCAGUACAGGCUGGCUUCUCCUCGCCAGUCUCCUGUUUCAAUAGGAUUUUUUGGGCCAUUGGAACUGUAGAGCUGAUGGCAGCCAUUUUGAAAGAUCUUUCUAUUUUAUUUCUUAAAUGUUAAGGGUACUGUUUAUCUAACGUUUUCAAAGUGCCAAUUGUUUAGACGAGACCAUUAAGGUGAGGUUUUGGAGGGAGGGGGUCAAAAAAAUAAUAAUGUGAAGGGAAAAGAGGAACCAAACCUUUUCACUAACACUGUAUUAAUAUUUAAUAAUGUUAGUUGUUUAGAAUGAGCUUUCAGUUUGUUAUCUUAAGACUAAACCGCAAAUGUUGUGCGUAGAGACCAGAAGCAGUGUUUGAUGCAAGCCUUCUAGAUGUUAUUUUCUUAAGCUGCAGUACGGCUAUCGAAUGACAAUAGGACACAGACAACGUUUAAAGAAGUUUUAUUUAGUAUAAAUGACAGAGACAUUAUGAAAUGUGUAUAUUUUACAUGUUGACGCUAUUUUUGUUUAAUAAAAAAUAAUAUAUCAUAUGAGCCUUGAGUUAGCAGUCACCCAACAUAUUUGGUUUCCUCCCAGGUCCAGAACACACACGAGCUUUCUCUUGUCCUGUUGAGUUCAUUUUGAUUUGCUGGCUAAUAACAGAGGAGGCAAGAUCUUAAAAAGAAGCAUGCACAACUUGCUAUGCGCGUAACAUUUUUUAUUUCAUACAUAGGAGGUACAGGAUUACUUGAUCAUGUUCAACUGAUUAUAGUGUACAGUAUUUAAUAUAGGCCUAUGUUGUUGUAUGUGUUGCAUAUUAUUCAAACGGAACAAACUGAGGCCUCUGUUACAAGUGGCAAAGCUUUCUGUGUAUAAUUUGUCUAAUAAACUUGUUUUCUACAGUG